Molecule: ribosomal RNA, 836 nt
Filed under: uncultured eukaryote
Lineage: Eukaryota
Description: SSU rRNA
Rfam family: Eukaryotic small subunit ribosomal RNA
Source: RNAcentral
GGAAUUUAUUUUGUUUGCAGCUAAAGCUCGUAGUUGGAUUUUUGGUUAAGAGGGAGCGGUCCGCCGUUUGGUCUGUACUGCGUUGUCUUGACUUCCUGAUGAGGACGUGCUCUUGGUUAACGCUGAGACAUGGAGUCAUCGUGGUUACUUUGAAAAAAUUAAAGUGUUCAGAGCGGGCUUACCCUUGAAUAUAUUAGCAUGGAAUAACACUAUAGGACUCCUGUCCUAUCUCGUUGGUCUCGGGAUGGGAGUAAUGAUUAAGAGGAACAGUUGGGGGCAUUCGGAUUUCAUUGUCAGAGGUGAAAUUCUUGGAUUUAUGAAAGACGAACUUCUGCCAAAGCAUUUGCCAAGGAUGUUUUCUUUAAUCAAGAACGAAAGUUGGGGGCUCGAAGAUGAUUAGAUACCAUCCUAGUCUCAACCAUAAACGAUGCCGACUAGGGAUUGGUGGAUGUUAAUUGAUGACUUCACCAGCACCUUAUGAGAAAUCAAAGUUUUUGGGUUCCGGGGGGAGUAUGGUCGCAAGGCUGAAACUUAAAGGAAUUGACGGAAGGGCACCACCAGGCGUGGAGCCUGCGGCUUAAUUUGACUCAACACGGGGAAACUUACCAGGUCCAGACAUAAGUAUGAUUGACAGAUUGAGAGCUCUUUCUUGAUUCUAUGGGUGGUGGUGCAUGGCCGUUCUUACUUGGUGGAGUGAUUUGUCUGGUUAAUUCCGUUAACCAACGAGACCUCAACCUGCUAAAUAGUACGGCCCUAUUCUUAGGGUCGCGACUUCUUAGAGGGACUAUGUGCGUUUAUCACAUGGAAGUUUGAGGGAUAACGAGUCUGUGAUGCGC